UACGGAGGGUGCAAGCGUUAAUCGGAAUUACUGGGCGUAAAGCGCACGCAGGUGGCUGAGUCAGUCGAUUGUGAAAGCCCUGGGCUUAACCUGGGAAUUGCAGUCGAUACUACUCAGCUAGAGUAUGGGAGAGGGCAGUGGAAUUCCCGGUGUAGCGGUGAAAUGCGUAGAUAUCGGGAGGAACAUCAGUGGCGAAGGCGGCUGCCUGGCCCAAUACUGACA
RNAcentral lists this ribosomal RNA (222 nucleotides) under uncultured bacterium. RNAcentral describes it as "partial 16S ribosomal RNA". It matches the Rfam family "Bacterial small subunit ribosomal RNA", at positions 524 to 745 of the family's 1533-position model. The record is from RNAcentral.